Molecule: ribosomal RNA, 231 nt
Filed under: uncultured bacterium
Lineage: Bacteria
Description: partial 16S ribosomal RNA
Rfam family: Bacterial small subunit ribosomal RNA
Source: RNAcentral
GAUCCUGGCUCAGGAUGAACGCUAGCUACAGGCUUAACACAUGCAAGUCGAGGGGCAGCAUGGUCUUAGCUUGCUUCCGAUGGCGUCGACCGGCGCACGGGUGAGUAACGCGUAUCCAACCUGCCCACCACUUGGGGAUAACCUUGCGAAAGUAAGACUAAUACCCAAUGAUAUCUCUAGAAGACAUCUGAAAGAGAUUAAAGAUUUAUCGGUGAAUGGAUGGGAUGCGGU